AAUCCAGAGAUGGAUUUGUGCCUUCGGGAACUGUGAGACAGGUGCUGCAUGGCUGUCGUCAGCUCGUGUUGUGAAAUGUUGGGUUAAGUCCCGCAACGAGCGCAACCCUUAUCCUUUGUUGCCAGCGAUUAGGUCGGGAACUCAAAGGAGACUGCCAGUGAUAAACUGGAGGAAGGUGGGGAUGACGUCAAGUCAUCAUGGCCCUUACGACCAGGGCUACACACGUGCUACAAUGGCGCAUACAAAGAGAAGCGACCUCGCGAGAGCAAGCGGACCUCAUAAAGUGCGUCGUAGUCCGGAUUGGAGUCUGCAACUCGACUCCAUGAAGUCGGAAUCGCUAGUAAUCGUGGAUCAGAAUGCCACGGUGAAUACGUUCCCGGGCCUUGUACACACCGCCCGUCACACCAUGGGAGUGGGUUGCAAAAGAAGUAGGUAGCUUAACCUUCGGGAGGGCGCUUACCACUUUGUGAUUCAUGACUGGGGUGAAGUCGUAACAA
This 497-nucleotide ribosomal RNA is filed under the name Salmonella enterica. Its description in RNAcentral is "bacterial SSU rRNA". It matches the Rfam family "Bacterial small subunit ribosomal RNA", at positions 997 to 1494 of the family's 1533-position model. Lineage: Bacteria; Pseudomonadati; Pseudomonadota; Gammaproteobacteria; Enterobacterales; Enterobacteriaceae. The record is from RNAcentral.